RNAcentral lists this ribosomal RNA (427 nucleotides) under uncultured Kingella sp. Its description in RNAcentral is "bacterial SSU rRNA". It matches the Rfam family "Bacterial small subunit ribosomal RNA", at positions 355 to 774 of the family's 1533-position model. Lineage: Bacteria; Pseudomonadati; Pseudomonadota; Betaproteobacteria; Neisseriales; Neisseriaceae. The record is from RNAcentral.
UGGGGAAUUUUGGACAAUGGGCGCAAGCCUGAUCCAGCCAUGCCGCGUGUCUGAAGAAGGCCUUCGGGUUGUAAAGGACUUUUGUUAGGGAAGAAAAGGAUAGUGUUAAUACCAUUAUCUGCUGACGGUACCUAAAGAAUAAGCACCGGCUAACUACGUGCCAGCAGCCGCGGUAAUACGUAGGGUGCGAGCGUUAAUCGGAAUUACUGGGCGUAAAGCGAGCGCAGACGGUUUAUUAAGCAAGAUGUGAAAUCCCCGAGCUUAACUUGGGAACUGCGUUUUGAACUGGUAAGCUAGAGUAUGUCAGAGGGGGGUAGAAUUCCACGUGUAGCAGUGAAAUGCGUAGAGAUGUGGAGGAAUACCGAUGGCGAAGGCAGCCCCCUGGGAUAAUACUGACGUUCAUGCUCGAAAGCGUGGGUAGCAAACA